UACGUAGGGUGCGAGCGUUAAUCGGAAUUACUGGGCGUAAAGUGUGCGCAGGCGGCCGAGCAAGUCGAGUGUGAAAGCCCCGGGCUUAACUUGGGAAUUGCGCUCGAAACUACUUGGCUUGAGUGUGGCAGAGGAAGGUGGAAUUCCACGUGUAGCGGUGAAAUGCGUAGAGAUGUGGAGGAACACCGAUGGCGAAGGCAGCCUUCUGGGCCAACACUGACGCUCAUGCACGAAAGCGUGGGGAGCAAACAGG
RNAcentral lists this ribosomal RNA (253 nucleotides) under uncultured bacterium. RNAcentral describes it as "partial 16S ribosomal RNA". It matches the Rfam family "Bacterial small subunit ribosomal RNA", at positions 524 to 776 of the family's 1533-position model. The record is from RNAcentral.